Molecule: non-coding RNA, 86 nt
Organism: Podarcis lilfordi (Lilford's wall lizard)
Lineage: Eukaryota; Metazoa; Chordata; Lepidosauria; Squamata; Lacertidae
Source: the annotation of a GenBank genome assembly
GCAUAUAUAUGUAUAUAUGUGUGUGUGUAUAUGUAUAUGUAUAUGUAUAUAUAUAUAUACACACACAUACAUAUACGUAUGUAUGA